AUUGAACGCUGGCGGCAUGCCUUACACAUGCCAGUCGAACGGUAACAGGUUAAGCUGACGAGUGGCGAACGGGUGAGUAAUGUAUCGGAACGUGCCCAGUCGUGGGGGAUAACUGCUCGAAAGGGCAGCUAAUACCGCAUACGACCUGAGGGUGAAAGCGGGGGAUCGCAAGACCUCGCGCGAUUGGAGCGGCCGAUAUCAGAUUAGGUAGUUGGUGAGGUAAAGGCUCACCAAGCCGACGAUCUGUAGCUGGUCUGAGAGGACGACCAGCCACACUGGGACUGAGACACGGCCCAGACUCCUACGGGAGGCAGCAGUGGGGAAUUUUGGACAAUGGGCGCAAGCCUGAUCCAGCCAUGCCGCGUGCGGGAAGAAGGCCUUCGGGUUGUAAACCGCUUUUGUCAGGGAAGAAAAGGUUCUGGCUAAUACCUGGGACUCAUGACGGUACCUGAAGAAUAAGCACCGGCUAACUACGUG
This 477-nucleotide ribosomal RNA is filed under the name uncultured bacterium. Its description in RNAcentral is "partial 16S ribosomal RNA". It matches the Rfam family "Bacterial small subunit ribosomal RNA", at positions 30 to 507 of the family's 1533-position model. The record is from RNAcentral.